AUUUUUAUAGUGUAUAUAACAUAUUACAUUUUCAUUGUAAAGCUGAAAUAAUAAUUUCUAAAAAUA
This 66-nucleotide transfer RNA is filed under the name Echinoecus nipponicus. RNAcentral describes it as "tRNA-Glu". The record is from RNAcentral. Lineage: Eukaryota; Metazoa; Arthropoda; Malacostraca; Decapoda; Pilumnidae.